AAGGAAGAGCUACAUUGCAGGAUCGUGCAAGAGUCCGUCACAAGCUCAAAGAUAUGGAGAACAAACUCACAACUGAGAGGAUAUUGAGUUCUGAUGAGACAUCUCUAAAGUGGCAUAGAUCCUGUUACAGUUGGUGUACUAAAGUUAA
Long non-coding RNA from Thalassophryne amazonica, 148 nucleotides. RefSeq lists it as uncharacterized. The record is from RefSeq and is a predicted model, not a curated record. The transcript is spliced from 3 exons. NCBI's taxonomy places the organism in Eukaryota, Metazoa, Chordata, Actinopteri, Batrachoidiformes, Batrachoididae.